Molecule: ribosomal RNA, 450 nt
Filed under: uncultured bacterium
Lineage: Bacteria
Description: partial 16S ribosomal RNA
Rfam family: Bacterial small subunit ribosomal RNA
Source: RNAcentral
GUGGGGAAUAUUGGACAAUGGGCGAAAGCCUGAUCCAGCCAUGCCGCGUGUGUGAAGAAGGUCUUCGGAUUGUAAAGCACUUUAAGUUGGGAGGAAGGGCAGUAAGCUAAUACCUUGCUGUUUUGACGUUACCGACAGAAUAAGCACCGGCUAACUUCGUGCCAGCAGCCGCGGUAAUACGAAGGGUGCAAGCGUUAAUCGGAAUUACUGGGCGUAAAGCGCGCGUAGGUGGUUUUGUAAGUUGGAGGUGAAAUCCCCGGGCUCAACCUGGGAACUGCCUCCAAAACUGCAUGACUAGAGUACGGUAGAGGGUAGUGGAAGUUCCUGUGUAGCGGUGAAAUGCGUAGAUAUAGGAAGGAACACCAGUGGCGAAGGCGACUACCUGGACUGAUACUGACACUGAGGUGCGAAAGCGUGGGGAGCAAACAGGAUUAGAAACCCCGGUAGUCC